This 819-nucleotide ribosomal RNA is filed under the name uncultured marine bacterium. RNAcentral's name for it is "bacterial SSU rRNA". It matches the Rfam family "Bacterial small subunit ribosomal RNA", at positions 56 to 919 of the family's 1533-position model. The record is from RNAcentral.
UGCAAGUCGAACGCAGUAGCAAUACUGGGGUGGCAAACGGGUGAGUAUAAAGUGGGCAAUCUGCCUUUUGGUUUGGAAUAACACGGGGAAACUUGUGCUAAUACCAAAUAAGCCCUUACGGGGAAAGUUUUAACGCCGAAAGAUGAGCCUGCACUUGAUUAGCUAGUUGGUAAGGUAAAGGCUUACCAAGGCAACGAUCAAUAGCUGUUCUUAGAGGAAGACCAGCCACAUUGGGACUGAGACACGGCCCAGACUCCUACGGGAGGCAGCAGUGGGGAAUCUUGCACAAUGGGGGAAACCCUGAUGCAGCGAUGCCGCGUGAGUGAAGAAGGCCCUUGGGUUGUAAAACUCUUUCGUCGGGGAAGAAAAUGACUGUACCCGAAUAAGAAGGUCCGGCUAACUUCGUGCCAGCAGCCGCGGUAAUACGAAGGGACCUAGCGUAGUUCGGAAUUACUGGGCUUAAAGAGCUCGUAGGUGGUUAAAAAAGUUGAUGGUGAAAUCCCAAGGCUCAACCUUGGAACUGCCAUCAAAACUUUUUAGCUAGAGUGUGAUAGAGGUAAGUGGAAUUUCUAGUGUAGAGGUGAAAUUCGUAGAUAUUAGAAAGAACACCAAAUGCGAAGGCAACUUACUGGGUCACUACUGACACUGAGGAGCGAAAGCAUGGGUAGCGAAGAGGAUUAGAUACCCUCGUAGUCCAUGCCGUAAACGAUGUGUGCUAGACGUUGGAAAUAUAUUUUUCAGUGUCGCAGCGAAAGCAUUAAGCACACCGCCUGGGGGAGUACGACCCGCAAGGUUAAAACUCAAAUGAAUUGACGGGGA